RNAcentral lists this ribosomal RNA (705 nucleotides) under Escherichia coli. RNAcentral describes it as "bacterial LSU rRNA". It matches the Rfam family "Bacterial large subunit ribosomal RNA", at positions 2238 to 2925 of the family's 2925-position model. Lineage: Bacteria; Pseudomonadati; Pseudomonadota; Gammaproteobacteria; Enterobacterales; Enterobacteriaceae. The record is from RNAcentral.
AUCCGGGUUGCGGACAGUGUCUGGUGGGUAGUUUGACUGGGGCGGUCUCCUCCUAAAGAGUAACGGAGGAGCACGAAGGUUGGCUAAUCCUGGUCGGACAUCAGGAGGUUAGUGCAAUGGCAUAAGCCAGCUUGACUGCGAGCGUGACGGCGCGAGCAGGUGCGAAAGCAGGUCAUAGUGAUCCGGUGGUUCUGAAUGGAAGGGCCAUCGCUCAACGGAUAAAAGGUACUCCGGGGAUAACAGGCUGAUACCGCCCAAGAGUUCAUAUCGACGGCGGUGUUUGGCACCUCGAUGUCGGCUCAUCACAUCCUGGGGCUGAAGUAGGUCCCAAGGGUAUGGCUGUUCGCCAUUUAAAGUGGUACGCGAGCUGGGUUUAGAACGUCGUGAGACAGUUCGGUCCCUAUCUGCCGUGGGCGCUGGAGAAUUGAGGGGGGCUGCUCCUAGUACGAGAGGACCGGAGUGGACGCAUCACUGGUGUUCGGGUUGUCAUGCCAAUGGCACUGCCCGGUAGCUAAAUGCGGAAGAGAUAAGUGCUGAAAGCAUCUAAGCACGAAACUUGCCCCGAGAUGAGUUCUCCCUGACUCCUUGAGAGUCCUGAAGGAACGUUGAAGACGACGACGUUGAUAGGCCGGGUGUGUAAGCGCAGCGAUGCGUUGAGCUAACCGGUACUAAUGAACCGUGAGGCUUAACCUUACAACGCCGAAG